GACAGGUGCUGCAUGGCUGUCGUCAGCUCGUGUUGUGAAAUGUUGGGUUAAGUCUCGCAACGAGCGCAACCCCUAUCUUUAGUUGCCAGCAUUAAGUUGGGCACUCUAGAGAGACUGCCCGGGUUAACCGGGAGGAAGGUGGGGAUGACGUCAAGUCCUCAUGGCCCUUAUGCCUUGGGCUACACACGUAAUACAAUGGUACACACAAAGGGACGCGACCCAGCGAUGGUGAGCAAAUCUCAAAAAGUGUGCCUCAGUUCGGAUUGGAGUCUGCAACUCGACUCCAUGAAGUUGGAAUCGCUAGUA
This 306-nucleotide ribosomal RNA is filed under the name uncultured Peredibacter sp. RNAcentral describes it as "bacterial SSU rRNA". It matches the Rfam family "Bacterial small subunit ribosomal RNA", at positions 1033 to 1340 of the family's 1533-position model. The record is from RNAcentral. Lineage: Bacteria; Pseudomonadati; Bdellovibrionota; Bacteriovoracia; Bacteriovoracales; Bacteriovoracaceae.